AAACCUCUAUCAUCAAGUCAAAUGUCUUGAUUUUAAACACCAGGAAGGAGAAUUGGGAGAAAACUCCUGGAAGGAGAAUUGGGAGAGCAGAAGGGGCGGGGCCUGGGACUGGCCUGGUUUAAUUUCCCAUUCCUUUGCGGGAAGAGAAGGGGCGUUGAUAAGAAAUUAAGGCUUUGAACGUUGACGAUCAAAAUUAAGUGGUGAAAUAAAAGCCAGCGAGCGCGCAGAUAGCAGCUGACAGAGAGAGAGGUGAGCACGCACCGCCCAAAGCUAAUUAGAUACACCAAGUGCAAUGGUCAGCCUAGCAGCUUUCCUUCACUUAAGGAAUAUCAUGUUUUUAUUAGGGUUUUGAAUUCGGAAUGCUGCCCGAAUGCCCUAUCUACAGGAUAAUUCACUAUAUACACAAGCGGAGUCUUUCAAUUCAUCAGACUUGAGGAAGGAGGGGGGCUGAUUUCAGAUCCCCAUUAUUAAUGGUGAAACCCGUGAAAGCCAGGUUGGUGUAUAUAAGGACUCUCAUCAUCCAUCCACAUCUGAAUCGUGUCCGUGCAUUCGACGUCUAAUUACCAAUAGUAAUUCACUAAUACCACUAGUAAUUACGUGUUCAAUUGUAGUAGUACUAGUGCUUUGGGAAGAAAAAUGUUGGGAGACUCAAAAGUUGGCUGUCCAUAAGUUCCUUCAUCCCAUGUUUUUGUCACAUUAACUCUGCAAAUUUAUGUUUUUGCCACAAUUUUGUGCUAAUUUUUUAUAAUAUUGUGUCAAAAAUAACAAUAAUAUUGUGUAAAAAAUAUAAGAUGACGAAGGGUUGAAUUUUUAGAAAAUCUCCUAAACAUUUAUUCUUUGAAAACUGUAAAGUUGCACCGCUGGCUUAGCACUAGUUGUGGAAUGUUGUACUCAGAGGGUUUGUAAUUGCGUUGGCCUCAAAAGUCCCAUUGGCCACUUCUCUAUUGCGGUUGCUCCUGUUUCAGCCGUCGGAUCUACGUAUAAUAUGAUUCAAUCUUUAUCUCAGCCUUUAAAUUUAACUUAGGGUUUUAUAUGUAUUGGAGCGUUGGUAUGGUGUUUGGUGGGGAAGGGUCGGGAAAGGACAACCCGCAAAAUGGAAGGGAGACAAAGAUAAAGACGUCCAUUGAAAAUCACCCACCCUUAUACGUUUUCAUCAUAUAUCCCGCGACUCUGCAUAUGCCUAAACAUGUGUACGCUGCCUGGCCUUCUUUUGGUGUUGUUUUCUCAGUUGAAUAUGCAUAUGAUAAAUAGAUGGUUCCUUACAUAAUUUUCCUUCAUCAGAAAUUUUAUUAAUAAAGUUUAACGUUACACAUUUAUGGGACGAAAAAAGCACCGAGUCCAAUUAGAUAAUAAAAUUGGCAGCGAUGGAUUACCUGAAUAGUUAUGACAUUCUUCUUCAACUUAUUAAUUAUGUCCCCGUUUCAAAUUCUUCACUGUACUUAGUGUAAAUAAAAUUACAAAACCAGUAGGAUAACAAAACCAAGAAGUCCAAAAUUGUAUACCUUUAGCCGACAAAAGGAAAAAAAAUGCACAAAUAACUUAACAUCUCACGUUACCAAAAUUCAGCUUAAUCACUAACCAAGUCUACACAACUCUCAAAACUAAAAAAUUCUAAAAUAACCCAUACAUUUAAGUUUUAACAACUACUGUUAUAAGCUAUGUGGACAACGGCACAUGAUAAAGUGGAACAUAAAAACAAUGUUUAAGAGCAGCUCCAACGGGAGCUUUUGCUGGAUGGACAGGCUUCAGCAUAGGGCCUGAUUGCCCAAGGGAGGAAGUUCAACAUUGGCUGGCAAGGGAGCCCGAGUAGGCCCGAGCGUCAAGCUCGUGGAUUCGUGCCGGUCCAAGCACCCGAGAUGGUUCUAACAUCAGCUGACGUCAGACGUCUUUUUUAAUUUUUUUUCUGUCAGGUUCUGGACCGGUGAGGCCGAAAAUGAGAAAAUUGCAGUUGGGUGCGCAGAGGCUGGUGAGGGCGGAGGAUAUGGAGGUGAGUUCCAGCGGGGACAUGUGGGGUGCUGACAAGGUGUUUGAUGAUGAAAUGGCGUAAUGAAGAAGUGCGUCCAGGACGGCGGGCGGGAGGGGGAGUACGGAGUUGGGGUGAGGGAGGAGGUGGGGAGGGUUUGGGGGAUGGUGGUGUUGAUGAGAGUGAGGGUGAAUGCGAGGGUGAAGAAGGUGAAGAAGAAAAGGAGCCACAGGCGGUGGCUUCCGCCAUUUGUGGAUUGCUUGGGGGUGGAGGAUGAUAAGCUUUGUGUUUGUGGUGGCGGUGUUGGUGGUCUUCAUUUCAACGAAGAGAGAGAGAGAGAGAGCUCUUUGCUUUGUCUUUUUUUAAUUAUCUUGGUAUUAUUUUAUAAAUAAAAAAUACUAUUAUUUUAUUACCUAUUGUCAGGGCUAUUGAAAUGCAACGGUGGAGAUACAAAAAGCGGUUACUGUUCAUUAAGGAUAGUUAUUGUUCACUGGGUGGAUAGCAUAGUGUAUUGCCUGGGGGGAGGGUUCCCACACUAGAACUGCUCUAAAGGGUAAAGUGAGUUAAAUGAACUUUCAUGGGCCACUAACUACUAUGGUUUUUUAGUAUUCUUCUUCACUUGUAAGUAAGAGAUUUUAAGUUUGAUUCUCAUCAAAUACGAGUUUGACAUUAUUCUGACUA
Malus domestica (apple) is the source of this 2644-nucleotide long non-coding RNA. RefSeq lists it as uncharacterized. NCBI's taxonomy places the organism in Eukaryota, Viridiplantae, Streptophyta, Magnoliopsida, Rosales, Rosaceae. The record is from RefSeq and is a predicted model, not a curated record.